Molecule: long non-coding RNA, 566 nt
Organism: Anguilla rostrata (American eel)
Lineage: Eukaryota; Metazoa; Chordata; Actinopteri; Anguilliformes; Anguillidae
Exons: 2
Source: RefSeq, a predicted model, not a curated record
ACUGGCAUUUAAACGAUUACAUGCUGUUAUUUUGAAAUUUCUUCUUCGCAGAACAGUUUGAAUGGUUUCACGUGCGUACUCGUGUCCGAAAACUGAGCGUGACGGUGGUCCAAUAAGCACGUAUCGUAUCCUUACUUAAAAACGAGCCAGCCUAGGUUCAAAGUGGGGCUGGAGCCUGACCCUGAGUCUGUGCUGGUGUAUCUGCUGUGCUCCUGCUGGGUUGGAUUGAGUGGGAGACUGUGCAGGCAGGAGGGAGAAGAGAGGAGGAUGGAGAGGAUGCCACAGUGGAGGAGCAGUAGGAGGAAGAGGUGGAACAGGAGCAGGAGGAGGUGGAGCAGGAGGAAGAGGAGGGGACAGCAUGCUGUGUCUGGGGUAUUCCCAGGACAGGAGAGCGCUGAGGCUCGGGUGUGCCAGUUAGCACAGAGCACACAUCCAGCUGUACAGGGCUGUGACGAUGUGUGGACAUGCUGACCAUGAUCACACUGCCCGGCAGAUUGUGAAGAGUCACAGCUCCAGCUGAGGAAGGAGUGCUGUUUGACUUUGUAAAUAAAUGAAAAUCAAGUUCA